This 801-nucleotide ribosomal RNA is filed under the name uncultured bacterium. RNAcentral describes it as "bacterial SSU rRNA". It matches the Rfam family "Bacterial small subunit ribosomal RNA", at positions 65 to 877 of the family's 1533-position model. The record is from RNAcentral.
AACGGAGCAAGUUUGUAGCAAUAUGAGCUUGCUUAGUUGCGGACGGGUGAGUAACGCGUGAGCAAUCUGCCUUUGUGAGGGGGACAACAGCCGGAAACGGCUGCUAAUACCGCAUGAGACCACAGCUUCGAGUGGAGCAGGGGUCAAAGAUUUAUCGCACAAAGAUGAGCUCGCGUCCCAUUAGCUAGUUGGUGAGGUAACGGCCCACCAAGGCGACGAUGGGUAGCCGACCUGAGAGGGUGAUCGGCCACACUGGAACUGAGACACGGUCCAGACUCCUACGGGAGGCAGCAGUGGGGAAUAUUGGGCAAUGGGCGCAAGCCUGACCCAGCAACGCCGCGUGAGGGAAGAAGGUCUUCGGAUUGUAAACCUCUGUCCUUGGGGACGAAAAAAAUGACGGUACCCAAGGAGGAAGCUCCGGCUAACUACGUGCCAGCAGCCGCGGUAAUACGUAGGGAGCGAGCGUUGUCCGGAAUUACUGGGCGUAAAGGGUGCGUAGGCGGCGAUGUAAGUCAGAUGUGAAAUCCCCGGGCUCAACUCGGGUUCUGCAUUUGAAACUACAUUGCUUGAGUGCAGGAGAGGAAAGCGGAAUUCCUAGUGUAGCGGUGAAAUGCGUAGAUAUUAGGAAGAACACCAGUGGCGAAGGCGGCUUUCUGGACUGUAACUGACGCUGAUGCACGAAAGCGUGGGGAGCAAACAGGAUUAGAUACCCUGGUAGUCCACGCUGUAAACGAUGGAUACUAGGUGUGGGGGACAUACAACCUCUGUGCCGAAGCAAACGCAUUAAGUAUCCCGCCUGGG